UGGGGAAUAUUGCACAAUGGGCGCAAGCCUGAUGCAGCGACGCCGCGUGAGGGAUGACGGCCUUCGGGUUGUAAACCUCUUUCACCAGGGACGAAGCGCAAGUGACGGUACCUGGAGAAGAAGCACCGGCCAACUACGUGCCAGCAGCCGCGGUAAUACGUAGGGUGCGAGCGUUGUCCGGAAUUACUGGGCGUAAAGAGCUCGUAGGUGGUUUGUCGCGUUGUUCGUGAAAACUCACAACUCAAUUGUGGGCGUGCGGGCGAUACGGGCAGACUAGAGUACUGCAGGGGAGACUGGAAUUCCUGGUGUAGCGGUGGAAUGCGCAGAUAUCAGGAGGAACACCGGUGGCGAAGGCGGGUCUCUGGGCAGUAACUGACGCUGAGGAGCGAAAGCGUGGGGAGCGAACAGGAUUAGAUACCCUGGUAGUCCACGCCGUAAACGGUGGGUACUAGGUGUGGGUUCCUUCCUUGGGAUCCGUGCCGUAGCUAACGCAUUAAGUACCCCGCCUGGGGAGUACGGCCGCAAGGCUAAAACUCAAAUGAAUUGACGGGGUC
This 554-nucleotide ribosomal RNA is filed under the name uncultured bacterium. RNAcentral describes it as "partial 16S ribosomal RNA". It matches the Rfam family "Bacterial small subunit ribosomal RNA", at positions 355 to 920 of the family's 1533-position model. The record is from RNAcentral.